AUUAGUACAUUCAGUUCAAUUCAGUACUCUAACAAUAUGAUGUCAGUUUGGAUAGAUGCUCAGUAUGAUGUUCAGUUUGGAUAGCUGUUUGGCUUAUAGUACUAAUCUAUAUCAAUUAAUGUUUAAGGAUUAGAUCAUGCUUUUUUUUCUGAAGUCUGCUAGAUGAUGACUAGGCUGACAAGUGGGAGUACUUGAUUUUCUUUGAAAGAAUAUGAAAAAACUAUGUACUAUUUCUCGAAGACAUGAGCCUCAUUGUGGUGCUCUUCAAGCUGUGCUUUUUGUUAUUUUUUGAAGACAAAAUUGAGAGUGCAGUCUUUUGUAUCUUCAAUAUCAAAAUGAUUAUCAUUCUGAUUCUACUCCACACUGAUUUAUAAACAUUUGUCAUUUUAUCUUAAUUGUGGGUUUGCAGUUUGCAUAAAGCAUGCGAAGGAGGGAAAGAACCCAUGGAGUUGCACACAAUGGAGGAGCUGUCUCAACAUUCGAAUAUGAAUAUUAUGGUUGUUGAUCAUGCCAGUUUGGCACUUGUGACAAACUGUUGAUUUGCUGUUAAGGGUCUUCUAUGUCCAGCCCUUUUGGCACUUGAAAGAGUGUUGUCUGUCCUUUGGCACUUGAAACUGUUAAUUUGCUAUGCUGUUAAGCCCCUUGGGCACUUGUGACAAACUGUAUAUUGGUGCUAGCUGUUUUUAUUCCAGCUCAAACCAAAUGCACUUUUUUUGAACAGCUGACUAGCUGUUUUCAUUCCAGCUCAAACCGAUGUACUUUUUUUGAAGAGCUGGAUUAAGAAAAGGUGUGGAUUCAAACCACAUGUGGUUUCAGAUUUUUAGUGAA
RNAcentral lists this long non-coding RNA (828 nucleotides) under Oryza brachyantha (malo sina). RNAcentral's name for it is "long non-coding RNA (OBRA_LNC001853)". Lineage: Eukaryota; Viridiplantae; Streptophyta; Magnoliopsida; Poales; Poaceae. The record is from RNAcentral.